This 388-nucleotide ribosomal RNA is filed under the name uncultured bacterium. RNAcentral's name for it is "bacterial SSU rRNA". It matches the Rfam family "Bacterial small subunit ribosomal RNA", at positions 28 to 416 of the family's 1533-position model. The record is from RNAcentral.
GACGAACGCUGGCGGCGUGCUUAACACAUGCAAGUCGAACGGAAAGGCCCAGCUUGCUGGGUACUCGAGUGGCGAACGGGUGAGUAACACGUGGGUGAUCUGCCCCAAACUUCGGGAUAAGCCUGGGAAACUGGGUCUAAUACCGGAUAUGACCUGCUCCUGCAUGGGGGUUGGUGGAAAGCUUUUGCGGUUUGGGAUGGGCCCGCGGCCUAUCAGCUUGCUGGUGGGGUAAUGGCCUACCAAGGCGACGACGGGUAGCCGACCUGAGAGGGUGAUCGGCCACACUGGGACUGAGACACGGCCCAGACUCCUACGGGAGGCAGCAGUGGGGAAUAUUGCACAAUGGGCGCAAGCCUGAUGCAGCGACGCCGCGUGAGGGAUGACGGCC